This 150-nucleotide non-coding RNA is filed under the name bovine gut metagenome. The record is from RNAcentral.
GCGGUCUCGUGAGAGCCAAGAGGGAAACAGGUGCAAAUCCUGUGCAGACCCGCUGCUGUAUGUUCCGUUAAUCACCUUACAGAUGCCAUUGGCGCUCAGUCGCUGAGAAGGUGUAAGGUAGUAGGAACGAGCCAGAAGACCUGCCGCAGA